Molecule: long non-coding RNA, 584 nt
Filed under: Jatropha curcas
Lineage: Eukaryota; Viridiplantae; Streptophyta; Magnoliopsida; Malpighiales; Euphorbiaceae
Description: long non-coding RNA (JCUR_LNC000756)
Source: RNAcentral
GGACAGCAACCAUCAUGGCCUCAUCAAAUGGCAGGACAGCAGCCAUCAUGGCCUCGUGAAAUUCCAGGGCAGCAGUUAUCACAGUCUCUACAAACAAGACAGCCAUCAUCAUGGUCUUCUGAAAGAGGAGGACAUCAGCCACAAUUACCUUCUCAGAUGAGAGAGCAGCAGCCAUUUGCCUCCAAUAAUAUUGCAGGACCAGAGCCAUCAAGACCUUAUCAAACUGCAGGACAGCAGCCAUCAGGGUCUCAUCAAAUUCCAGGGCAGCAGUUAUCACAGUCUCCUCAAAUGGGACAGCCAGCAUCAUGGUCUUCCGAAAGAGGAGGACAUCAGCCACAAUUACCUUCCCAGAUGAGAGAGCAGCAUCAAUUUGCCUCCCAUAAUAUUGCAGGACCAGAGUCAUCAAGACCUUAUCAAAUUGCAGGACAGCAGCCAUUAGCCUCUAAUGAUAUUGCAGGACAGCAGCCAUUGAGACCUUAUCAAAUGGCAGGGCACCAGCCCUCAUGGUCCUCUCGGACGGGAGAACACCAGCCAUCAUGGUCCCCUCGGACGGGAGAGCACCAGCCAUCAUGGUCCUCUCGGAC